GACGAACGCUGGCGGCGUGCUUAACACAUGCAAGUCGAACGGUAAGGCCCCUUCGGGGGUACACGAGUGGCGAACGGGUGAGUAACACGUGAGCAACCUGCCCUUGACUCUGGAAUAACAGUUGGAAACAGCUGCUAAUACUGGAUAUUCAUCGUCUCCUUCCUGGGGGGUGGUGGAAAGCUCCGGCGGUCAGGGAUGGGCUCGCGGCCUAUCAGCUUGUUGGUGAGGUAAUGGCUCACCAAGGCUUCGACGGGUAGCCGGCCUGAGAGGGCGACCGGCCAAACUGGGACUGAGAUACGGCCCAGACUCCUACGGGAGGCAGCAGUGGGGAAUAUUGCACCAUGGGCGCAAGCCUGAUGCAGCAACGCCGCGUGCGGGAUGACGGCCUUCGGGUUGUAAACCGCUUUCAGUAGGGACGAAGGGUGACUGACGGUACCUACAGAAGAAGGACCGGCUAACUACGUG
RNAcentral lists this ribosomal RNA (465 nucleotides) under uncultured bacterium. RNAcentral's name for it is "partial 16S ribosomal RNA". It matches the Rfam family "Bacterial small subunit ribosomal RNA", at positions 28 to 507 of the family's 1533-position model. The record is from RNAcentral.